GUUCGAGAGCGCUGUAUAGGAGCCGGAGUUGGGAUGCACCACGCUGAUAGUGAAGGUGGCCUUCAGGGCGGGCUCAUCGAAGCAGGGGAACGCCUGGCGGGCAUAGGUCGGCUCGAACUUGGAGGUGGCUAUUUUUUUGCGACUUUCGUCGGC
Molecule: long non-coding RNA, 153 nt
Organism: Drosophila arizonae
Lineage: Eukaryota; Metazoa; Arthropoda; Insecta; Diptera; Drosophilidae
Source: RefSeq, a predicted model, not a curated record